This 257-nucleotide ribosomal RNA is filed under the name uncultured bacterium. RNAcentral's name for it is "partial 16S ribosomal RNA". It matches the Rfam family "Bacterial small subunit ribosomal RNA", at positions 524 to 776 of the family's 1533-position model. The record is from RNAcentral.
UACGUAGGGUGCAAGCGUUGUCCGGAAUUAUUGGGCGUAAAGGGCUCGUAGGCGGUCCAUCGCGUCGGGAGUGAAAAGCUGGGGCUCAACCCCAGUCCUGCUUCCGAUACGGGGUGGACUAGAGGUAUGCAGGGGAGAACGGAAUUCCUGGUGUAGCGGUGAAAUGCGCAGAUAUCAGGAGGAACACCGGUGGCGAAGGCGGCCUGCUGGGCAGUUUUGCUGACACUGGAGGCGCGACAGCGUGGGGAGCGAACAGG